Molecule: long non-coding RNA, 2315 nt
Filed under: Jatropha curcas
Lineage: Eukaryota; Viridiplantae; Streptophyta; Magnoliopsida; Malpighiales; Euphorbiaceae
Description: long non-coding RNA (JCUR_LNC002272)
Source: RNAcentral
UCAGCGUCUCUCUCUCUCUAUUCUCUCUCAACAAACCACCCCCCCUUCCCUUUUCUUCUCGUUCUCCGACCGUCGGUCACCAAUUCUGGCAAAUAAAUACUCUAAAAAUAUCUACUCGUCGCAAGGAGUUUGAUUCAAGCCUUGGUUUGUGCGAUUUGAGCCCUGAUUGAGAGAAAUCUCAAUCGAAACAGUCGGCACCAUUGUAGCAACUUCUCUGGCAAUUUCCCACCGUUUUCGGUGACUUGAGGUGUCAAGGUAGGUGUCAAUUGACUCCUCUCUUUUCUCUCUUUCAUUUGAUGGCCUUCUCGCCGACUGAUAUAGCCGGAAUCAGAAAACCCAAAAUGGGUACCACCAAACCUUUUCGGCCAAUUUUCGGCCAAAUGGUUCACACCCACCUUGAUUUGAACACAUAUUAGUGAUCCUCUCAUUGAAACGAAUAAAAUGAUGUAUUGUUUGUCAAUUUUGGUGAAUGUUCGAUUUUCCAACCAUCGUGCACGGCGGCCGGCGGCGGCAUUUCGGUGACCGGCCGGCGACGCUCUGGUGAGGCUCCAAAGGCAGAAUCUUCUCCUCUUCACGUUGAUCUCGAAUAUGUGAUCCAAUUUCACAUUGGUAAACCUUAUAACCCAAUUCUGCAUUUUUCCUUUAGAAAUCAAUUUGAAUUUAUUUCCUUAUUUUAUAAUUAUUUGAUGAGAUUAAAUAAAAAUUCUAAUUAGUUAGAACAUUAUUUAACUUGGUUAAUCCAAAUCAAAAAUUUAAGAACCUAGAUUGCUAUGGGGUAAGAAUAUUACUUUUGGUACCUUAAGUGCUAAAAAGAGAUUAAUGGGAAGUUAAGUAUUUUAAUAAAAAUGGUUAAUUAAGUAUAUACACAUUAUCAUGGAAUGAACUAAAUCCGUGAAAAUACCUUUGCUUUGAGUUGGAAUUAAAUACUGGUGUGGAUAAAUUAAUUCAAGUUGAUUUAAUGAGGACAUAACAGAGCAUGGGCUUUGAUUAAGAAUUUGCCCGAUGGAUGGGCUGUGUGUUGAUGUGUGCGAUGUAUAAAAUUUGGAUAGUCUAGUUUAUAGAGAAAAUGAUGCCGAAUUUUCGGCAAAACACUUAAUAAAGAACUAAAUUAGUUGUAUCCUUAAUAGGUGGUAACGACUAAAACUUUUAGUAUUAUUAUUAUUAUUACGUACCAAAUAACUAGAAGUUUUAUUUAAAGGUUGUAAAUUAGAAUAAAUAAAUAAUUAAGGAAACACUAUAUAUAUAUAUAUAUAUGUACAAUUUAGUUUGAUAAGUUAGUUAAGUAACUAGUAACCAAAACUAAUAAUGAAUGUGAAAUACAUUUUUCGAAUUAGAAUUCUUAUUUAGAAAAAAAGUUGGAAGCGUAAUAAAGAUAGUCCUUUAAAGGACCAUAAAGAACAAUGAGUAUUGUUAGAUAAUUCGCAUCAUACACCUGCAUCUUUGCAUUCAUGCAUUCACGGCUAAAUGUUAUCAUGCAUUUGUUAAAUUGCUAUAUUGUGCUGCACUAUUUUUGCGAUUAAAAUUUGCUUGAUUACGUGUGUUGUGAUAUUGUUGUGUCUUGUUUGUGUGGAAUUGGGAUGAAAUGGGUCACCGUGGGUUUGUGAGGGCGGUCUACAAGACCGUUGGCUAUAUGAGAGAUUAGCGCCCCCGUGUGCACCUGAUGAUAUGAUAUGGAUAAUAUGGAUAAAGCAUAGGGUGGCCUUCGGAUGCUAUGGGAAAGAAAAGAGAGAAUGAAAAAACAAUGAGAGGGCUGGUCAAGUGAAGAUUAGACCGGUCGGCCAGGUAUGGGGGAUCGGCUCCCUGGUGCACACGUAUGAGAGGGCGAGCCAUGUGAGAGGAUGGCUUGUUGGGGUUUCGGUGAUGCCACUGACUAAUUUCCACGUGAGGUGAUUAUAUGAAGAUGAUAAUAAUUGUGAUUGCUGUUGUAUUGCCAUUUGUGUGACAAAUUGCAUGAUCAUAUAACUAAUUGGAGGACUAAAUUGAUUUAUUAUAGCAUAUGUGUGAUUGUGUGGGGUGAGAAAGUUAUCUAACCCUACUCAUUGAGUUUGACGCUAACCCCUGCCUCCUAUCUUUGUUUUUUUUUUUUUAGGAAAUAAGAAGAAAGAAGAGUCCUAUGGACCCGACUGAGUCGAAAUAUCGAAACUAGAAACUUGUUAAUAGUUGUGUUAGCCAUGUAAAUGUUAAGGACUUUAGAUUAUGGAGUUCCGCAAUUGUAUUUCUAAUGUGUUGUAAUUGGAUAAUAAGAGCACGUAUAUUAAUAUUAUGUAUUGUAUUUUUGAUAUAUUGGUGAAAUAAAUUAUUGGGCCUGAAGCCAC